This 162-nucleotide small RNA is filed under the name Phascolarctos cinereus (koala). RNAcentral's name for it is "TUC338 (ENSPCIG00000020691.2)". The record is from RNAcentral. Lineage: Eukaryota; Metazoa; Chordata; Mammalia; Diprotodontia; Phascolarctidae.
UUCAGGGCAAUGGGAAUUGAAGCCAUCUAAUCACAGAGCCAUGGAGCAGCCAGACAAAUCUUCCCCCUCAUAACUCCACCCAAAUGCUCCAGAUUUAAACUAGAGGGACCACCAUGAAGGGUGAACAUUUCUGUCUUCAUGCCCAUUCAAUUCUUGGCCUCA